RNAcentral lists this ribosomal RNA (207 nucleotides) under uncultured bacterium. RNAcentral's name for it is "partial 16S ribosomal RNA". It matches the Rfam family "Bacterial small subunit ribosomal RNA", at positions 568 to 774 of the family's 1533-position model. The record is from RNAcentral.
CAUCUAGGCGGUCAAUCAAGUCGAAGGUGAAGACUUGUGGCUCAACCAUAAGCUUGCCUACGAAACUGAUUAACUAGAGUACUGGAGAGGUGGACGGAACUACACGAGUAGAGGUGAAAUUCGUAGAUAUGUGUAGGAAUGCCGAUGAUGAAGAUAGUUCACUGGACAGAAACUGACGCUGAAGUGCGAAAGCUAGGGGAGCAAACA